RNAcentral lists this long non-coding RNA (1328 nucleotides) under Lupinus angustifolius (narrow-leaved blue lupine). RNAcentral describes it as "long non-coding RNA (LANG_LNC001215)". Lineage: Eukaryota; Viridiplantae; Streptophyta; Magnoliopsida; Fabales; Fabaceae. The record is from RNAcentral.
GUUCCAUCAAGAUAUGAACAAUGAUUGAGAGGAGGGUGAUCACAUUGUGUACAAGCCACCCUCCAGAUUCUCAGGAAAAACCAAGGUUGAGGAGGAUGAAGAAGUCAUCGUGUACAAGCUAAGGUCAAGUUCAACGACAUGAACCAAUGUGGAGGAGGAGGACGUCAUCCUCCUCCAACCUCAAGCUUCUCUUCAAGAAACUCAAGAGCCGAGAAUAAUAGCUCAUCCUCAACCUACACUUCAAUAAAGAAUGGCCUUCGUCCCAGAUGGCUUCCCAACAUUUGAUAAAGCUAAGGAAAUCAUGAGGGAAGAUGAAAGGUGUGGCCAUAAACACAAACAAAACAAGAUUGUAAAUCUUAGACAAGUAAUAUAGAGUUUAGACCUUGUAUACCUUUGUUUACAAUAGUUUUAAUGCCUAAUUUUAACAUAGUAGUCCAUGUUUUACAAUCGUUUGACAUUUUAUCACUAGUUACACCACUUUUGUUAUCAAUCUUGUAUGGUGCAACACUGUACGCAAAUGUCUAGUAUAUAGAAAAGAAAACCAUUUCAAAACACACUAGAAUAUUUUGAUAGUCCUCCUCAAUAUAUUCCACAAGUAGCCAGAAAAAACGGUAAAUGAUAACAUAGGUGAUGUCAUGUAGCCAUCCUUGUAUAUAGCAUAUGUGGUGGUUAUUGUUUUAAGACAACAUAUAUGGUAUUAUCGUUUUUACUGUUUCAAAAAAUGUAGGCAAUUUUCACAAAAUGGAACCAUUCCAUCAAGAUGUGAACAAUGAUUAAGAUGAGGGUGAACACAUUGUGUACAAGCCACUCUCCAGAUUCUCAGGAAAACCCAAGGUUGAGGAGGAUGAAGAAGUAAUCGUGUACAAGUUUGGGUCAAGUUCAACGACAAUGACAAAUGUGGAGUAGGAGGAGGAAGUGAUCCUCCUCCAAUCUUAAGCUUCUCUUCAAGAAACUCAAGAGCCAGCAACAAUAGCUCCUCCUCAACCGACACUUCAACAAAGAAUGGCCUUCAUCCCAGAUGACUUCCCAACAUUUGAUAAAGCUAAGGAAAUCCUGAGCGAAGAUGAAAGGUGUGGCCGUAAACACAAACCAAACAAAACUGUAAUUCUUAGACAAGUAAUAUAGAGUUUAGAUCUUAUAUACCUUUGUUUACAAUGGUUGUAAAGCCUAAUUUUAACACAGUAGUCCAUGUUCUACAAUCAUUUGACAUUUUAUCAAUAGUUACACCACUUCUGUUAUCAACCUUGUAUGGUGCAACACUGUACGCAAAUAUCUAGUAUAUAGAAAAGAAAACCAUUUCAAAACAGACAAGAAUAUUUUGAUAGCCC